Molecule: ribosomal RNA, 253 nt
Filed under: uncultured bacterium
Lineage: Bacteria
Description: partial 16S ribosomal RNA
Rfam family: Bacterial small subunit ribosomal RNA
Source: RNAcentral
UACAGAGGGGGCAAGCGUUGUUCGGAAUUACUGGGCGUAAAGGGCGCGUAGGCGGCCUUCUAAGUCGAACGUGAAAUCCCCGGGCUCAACCCGGGAACUGCGUCCGAUACUGGAAGGCUUGAAUCCGGGAGAGGGAUGCGGAAUUCCAGGUGUAGCGGUGAAAUGCGUAGAUAUCUGGAGGAAUACCGGUGGCGAAGGCGGCAUCCUGGACCAUUACUGACACUGAUCCGCGAAGGCUAGGGGAGCAAACGGG